RNAcentral lists this ribosomal RNA (344 nucleotides) under uncultured bacterium. RNAcentral describes it as "bacterial SSU rRNA". It matches the Rfam family "Bacterial small subunit ribosomal RNA", at positions 1 to 334 of the family's 1533-position model. The record is from RNAcentral.
ACGCUACGUUCAGAGUUUGAUCCUGGCUCAGGAUGAACGCUGGCGGCGUGCUUAACACAUGCAAGUCGAACGGACUUUACAUGAAGCCUAGCGAUUGUAAAGUUAGUGGCGGACGGGUGAGUAACGCGUGGGUAACCUGCCGUAUACAGGGGGAUAACACUUAGAAAUAGGUGCUAAUACCGCAUAAGCGCACAGCUUCGCAUGAAGUAGUGUGAAAAACUCCGGUGGUAUACGAUGGACCCGCGUCUGAUUAGCUAGUUGGUGAGGUAACGGCCCACCAAGGCGACGAUCAGUAGCCGGCCUGAGAGGGUGAACGGCCACAUUGGGACUGAGACACGGCCCAA